Molecule: small RNA, 113 nt
Filed under: Enterobacteriaceae bacterium RIT711
Lineage: Bacteria; Pseudomonadati; Pseudomonadota; Gammaproteobacteria; Enterobacterales; Enterobacteriaceae
Description: RtT sRNA
Rfam family: RtT RNA
About the family: This family represents a bacterial cis-regulatory element known as RtT RNA. The exact function of RtT is unknown although it is thought that it may be involved in changing the cellular response in relation to amino acid starvation.
Source: RNAcentral
UACGUCUGUAGUUUAUGAGGAUGAGAACCUCCGAAGGAGGUUUGAGCCGAGCGCAGCGAGACAACGUUGCUUCAGCAACGGCCCGCAGGGGAAUAAUCCUCUCUCGCCGACCA